RNAcentral lists this small RNA (390 nucleotides) under Mus musculus (house mouse). RNAcentral's name for it is "partial mRNA-like noncoding RNA". The record is from RNAcentral. Lineage: Eukaryota; Metazoa; Chordata; Mammalia; Rodentia; Muridae.
GAGGCGCUUGGGAGGACUCCCCCAGUUCUGUUAAGAGCUGGGCACAAAGAGCCCUUUGCACUCCAGCCGCAGGAGCGAGGAGGAGCCGAGACCUGGGGCGUCCAGCGCAGCCUCAAACCCAGGGCAUCUCUGCACUCUCAUCGCGACGUCGCUCUGGAUGCUGUUUGCAUAUCCUUGGGGAGUCACUGCUUUGGCACAACAGUCCUGCGAGGUGCUGGAAUUCCGUCUGUUCUCAUCACACGGACAUGGCUGAUCUGUCUCAGUGGUACCUGGGGGCAAAGCAGGGAGCCGGGCGGUGGAGGCCAACAUUGUUACCAAGUUGGCUCUGUCUCAACACAGGGACUGAGCCUUCUGAGCCUCAAGAGUUCCUGCUGGUUCCCAGGUGGUGGA